GAUGAAGAACGCAGCGAAAUGCGAUAAGUAAUGUGAAUUGCAGAAUUCCGUGAAUCAUCGAAUCUUUGAACGCACAUUGCGCCCCCUGGCAUUCCGGGGGGCAUGCCUGUCCGAGCGUCAUUUCUGCCCUCAAGCACGGCUUGUGUGUUGGGUGUGGUCCCCCCGGGGACCUGCCCGAAAGGCAGCGGCGACGUCCGUCUGGUCCUCGAGCGUAUGGGGCUCUGCCACUCGCUCGGGAAGGACCUGCGGGGGUUGGUCACCACUAUAUUUUACCACGGUUGACCUCGGAUCAGGUAGGAGUUACCCGCUGAACUUAAGCAUAUCAAUAAGCGGAGGA
RNAcentral lists this unclassified non-coding RNA (337 nucleotides) under soil metagenome. RNAcentral describes it as "partial contains 5.8S ribosomal RNA, internal transcribed spacer 2, and large subunit ribosomal RNA". The stretch from base 1 to 120 matches the Rfam family "5.8S ribosomal RNA", at positions 35 to 154 of the family's 154-position model. The record is from RNAcentral.